This is a long non-coding RNA of Oncorhynchus keta (chum salmon), 3134 nucleotides long. RefSeq lists it as uncharacterized. The transcript is spliced from 3 exons. The record is from RefSeq and is a predicted model, not a curated record. NCBI's taxonomy places the organism in Eukaryota, Metazoa, Chordata, Actinopteri, Salmoniformes, Salmonidae.
UCAAAACAGUAGAAUGACCCGCCCUGUUCUUCGUUCACAAUUGGUGAUUACAUAAUUAUGAUCGUUCGCUUUCCCUCGCUCAUCAACUCACUCACUCUCCCUCUUUCUCCCCAUCAUACUUUAAUUAAAUAAUGUAAUAUGUUGUUAUGUGUGAAAUUAGUUUCGGUAUAGUUUAGGUUCAAGGCAAUUAUCCGCGUGAUUAUCAGCUGGACAAUGCGCUUUCAAACUGUCGGUCAGGAGGCAGUGUGUUAUAUAGGCUUAUUUAGGACAAAGUCAAGGACUGAGUGGAGCAGGCCCUACUGUCAGGAGGCAGUGUGUUAUAUAGGCUUAUUUAGGACAAAGUCAAGGACUGAGUGGAGCAGGCCCUACUGUCAGGAGGCAGUGUGUUAUAUAGACUUAUUUAGGAAAAGUCAAGGACUGAGUGGAGCAGGCCCUACUGUCAGGAGGCAGUGUGUUAUAUAGACUUAUUUAGGAAAAGUCAAGGACUGAGUGGAGCAGGCCCUACUGUCAGGGGGCAGGCAGUGUGUUAUAUAGACUUAUUUAGGACAAAGUCAAGGACUGAGUGGAGCAGGCCCUACUGUCAGGAGGCAUUGUGUUAUAUAGACUUAUUUAGGAAAAGUCAAGGACUGAGUGGAGCAGGCCCUACUGUCAGGAGGCAGUGUGUUAUAUAGGCUUAUUUAGGAAAAGUCAAGGACUGAGUGGAGCAGGCCCUACUGUCAGGAGGCAGUGUGUUAUAUAGGCUUAUUUAGGAAAAGUCAAGGACUGAGGGGAGCAGGCCCUACUGUCAGGAGGCAGUGUGUUAUAUAGACUUAUUUAGGAAAAGUCAAGGACUGAGUGGAGCAGGCCCUACUGUCAGGAGGCAGUGUGUUAUAUAGGCUUAUUUAGGAAAAGUCAAGGACUGAGUGGAGCAGGCCCUACUGUCAGGAGGCAGUGUGUUAUAUAGGCUUAUUUAGGAAAAGUCAAGGACUGAGGGGAGCAGGCCCUACUGUCAGGAGGCAGUGUGUUAUAUAGGCUUAUUUAGGAAAAGUCAAGGACUGAGUGGAGCAAGCCCUACUGUCAGGAGGCAGUGUGUUAUAUAGGCUUAUUUAGGAAAAGUCAAGGACUGAGUGGAGCAGGCCCUACUGUCAGGGGGCAGUGUGUUAUAUAGACUUAUUUAGGACAAAGUCAAGGACUGAGUGGAGCAGGCCUUACUGUCAGGGGGCAAUGUGUUAUAAAGGCUUAUUUAGGAAAAGUCAAGGACUGAGUGGAGCAGGCCCUACUGUCAGGAGGCAGUGUGUUAUAUAGCCUUAUUUAGGACAAAGUCAAGGACUGAGUGGAGCAGGCCCUACUGUCAGGAGGCAGUGUGUUAUAUAGACUUAUUUAGGACAAAGUCAAGGACUGAGUGGAGCAGGCCCUACUGUCAGGAGGCAGUGUGUUAUAUAGACUUAUUUAGGACAAAGUCAAGGACUGAGUGGAGCAGGCCCUACUGUCAGGAGGCAGUGUGUUAUAUAGACUUAUUUAGGACAAAGUCAAGGACUGAGUGGAGCAGGCCCUACUGUCAGGAGGCAGUGUGUUAUAUAGACUUAUUUAGGAAAAGUCAAGGACUGAGUGGAGCAGGCCCUACUGUCAGGAGGCAGUGUGUUAUAUAGACUUAUUUAGGACAAAGUCAAGGACUGAGUGGAGCAGGCCCUACUGUCAGGAGGCAGUGUGUUAUAUAGACUUAUUUAGGACAAAGUCAAGGACUGAGUGGAGCAGGCCCUACUGUCAGGAGGCAGUGUGUUAUAUAGACUUAUUUAGGAAAAGUCAAGGACUGAGUGGAGCAGGCCCUACUGUCAGGAGGCAGUGUGUUAUAUAGACUUAUUUAGGACAAAGUCAAGGACUGAGUGGAGCAGGCCCUACUGUCAGGAGGCAGUGUGUUAUAUAGACUUAUUUAGGACAAAGUCAAGGACUGAGUGGAGCAGGCCCUACUGUCAGGAGGCAGUGUGUUAUAUAGACUUAUUUAGGAAAAGUCAAGGACUGAGUGGAGCAGGCCCUACUGUCAGGAGGCAGUGUGUUAUAUAGGCUUAUUUAGGAAAUGUUAAAGACGGAGGGGGAAUUACUUAAAAACGGCAGAGUAAUAAAAUUAAUAAAUUCCAUGAGCGGUCAAAAUGAGAAGAAUAAGGGUGAUCAAAGGUGAAAGAAAGAAGUGUGUGUGUGCGUGCGUGUGUGAGUGAGAGCGAGCAAGAAAGAAAGAGAGAGAGAGAGAGAGAGAGAGAGAGAGAGAGAGAGAGAGAGAGAGAGGAGGAGAGAAGUACAUCUGACGAUAUGGCAGCAGUGCAGGGCUAACGGUAAACAGAUUGAAAAAUCAAUUGCGGUUGAGCUGCCGAUGGGAGUGAACAUAUUAAUUAUGGACUGAAUAUAUCAGCAUUUGUGUCCUAUCACCGGCAUGGUUGGAUUACAGAGGAAGGCUUGGUCAAGAGAGAGUGUGUGUGCGUAUGUGCUUAUGUUUGUUUGUAUGUGUGUGUGUGUGAAACUACAGUGGUAUAAUAAGGGCUUUUAUGUCAAAUCAGCAGUGAAAAUUCUGCUUCCCAGAUUGACUCAAGUUGACCCUGAACAACAAAUCACUUCUUCUGGAAUUAUUUUUGUCAUGUAAUCUCUCAUGUGACAGGGAUCAAAGUACAGCAGCAUGGGUAAUGCCUUUCUCACCACUCACUUACUGCAGUCAUGUGACACACACACACACACACACACACACACACACACACACACACACACACACACACACACACACACACACACACACACACACACACACACACACACACACACACACACACACACACACACACACACACACACACACACACACACACACACACACACUGUCUUGUUUUGCCUGAUGACUGUCCUGUGUUAUUCCCAUGUUGGACUACCGUAUGCUAUACUAGCAUUAAAAAAAUGCUUGAGAGCCCUCUCUCUCCGUUAACUCCUCCUCUCACCCCUCGUCUCUCCUCUCCAGCACAGCGUGCGCUUGAUAUUUUAUGCCCGUCUCUGUGCCUGCCUGACUGCCGCCAAGUGCAUUUGGCUGCAUACAUUAAUUAAUUUUCUUCAGACUGGCACAUUCUUCUGCUCUCAACUUGUAGAGGCAAGAGCUCAAAGUGAAAGUCGGGAGAGGG